CCUACGGGAGGCAGCAGUGAGGAAUAUUUGUCAAUGGACGAGAGUCUGAACCAGCCAAGUAGCGUGAAGGAUGACUGCCCUAUGGGUUGUAAACUUCUUUUAUAAAGGAAUAAAACGAGGCACGUGUGCCUUUUUGCAUGUACUUUAUGAAUAAGGAUCGGCUAACUCCGUGCCAGCAGCCGCGGUAAUACGGAGGAUCCGAGCGUUAUCCGGAUUUAUUGGGUUUAAAGUGAGCGUAGAUGGGUUGUUAAGUCAGUUGUGAAAGUUUGCGGCUCAACCGUAAAAUUGCAAUUGAUACUGGCAGUCUUGAGUACAGUUGAGGGAGGCGGAAUUCGUGGUGUAGCGGUGAAAUGCUUAGAUAUCACGAAGAACCCCGAUUGCGAAGGCAGCUUACUAAACUGUGACUGACAUUGAUGCUCGAAAGUGUGGGUAUCGAACAGGAUUAGAUACCCUGGUAGUC
This 460-nucleotide ribosomal RNA is filed under the name uncultured bacterium. RNAcentral describes it as "partial 16S ribosomal RNA". It matches the Rfam family "Bacterial small subunit ribosomal RNA", at positions 338 to 795 of the family's 1533-position model. The record is from RNAcentral.